UAGGAGGGAGAAACAGCAAGUGUGGAGGGAGCGGCAGCUGGCAUGCAGGACCUGUAAGCUGUGCAUGCCUGUGGCUUCGUGUGUCACUAGGAAGGCGCAGCAAAGAAGCAGGAUCAACUGGGAAUGGAGAUCUGUCCUAGGCACCGUGUGGGUGAGGAGAAGGAGACAGUCCACACCCUGAAUUGCUUAGAGUCAAAACAGACAAGACAGCCAAAAAAUAGGGAAAGGAGAUGAAACACAGAAAUUCCAUGGCAGCAACCACGAUGGUACUUUCACAGCCCUGGUUUCACUGGGGCAGGGACAGGAAUGUGGACCAGAUUUUGUCUUUCCUCUGUCAGAGCAAGAGCCCGGGGGAUGAACAUCUGACCUAAGCAAGAUAUCUACAAAUGCUGUCAUCUGCAUCAGUUGUUUUAACUCACUUCAGAAUUAAUGGUGAAGAACAGGCAAUUCCAGAACCUGAUUUCCCUCAUCCAUAAGUAGACUUCUAAAAGAGGUCAUCUCCACUGUCCCCUCAAAAGCAGGAAAGGGCUACUUCCUACACUGACUGAAAAAAUGGAGAACACGAAGACUAGUUAAGAGAUAAGAGAGGAGAUAAUAGUAAAGACAUUAGAUAUUUAAAUUUCAGCUAUAAGACAGAGGCAUGGUGUCUUGAAAAAUAAUUUUCUUCCAUGUUUCAGAAGCAGAAAUAUUUUGUCCCUGACACUGUGUUGCUGUUAUAUUUUUUUUCCCCUGUAAUAUAAAAUAACUCCACAGCAUUAAAAUAAGUCCUUUUGUUUUUCUCAGGGAGAACAACUUUUAGGAUUACAAAACGGAGAUGAAAAGGAAUCCAAAACCUGGAGUAAAUAUGUCUUAAUGAUAUAAUAGGGCUUAGCAGAGAAAUAACAUGAUCUAAAGAACACCUAAUGACAAUCAAAUCCAUGCUUGCAGCAUUUUAUUCAUAUAUCUGCUUGGCUGAGAGAGAAAACACAAUUGGUGAAGAAUCUGAGCCCCAUGAAAAACAAAAGGAUUUUUUGUUUUUCAUUGCCUUUUGUGGAAAUUGGAUUAGAUUCUUGUUGCUCAUAACAAAACAUCUGGUUUAUUAGAGUAUCAGCUAAUGAAAAGAGAAAUACAAUGUGAAGACACAUACAUUUGGUAAAACUGAAAGAUCUUUACCCUUUUGCUUCAUCCUCAGGGUCUUAAUUUUGAAUAACAUUUAAAAAUUUAAAUUUAACAUUUUUAAAUAAGGUUUAAAAAUUUUAAACUAAUCUGCAAGCAAUUAUAAUUCCCCAGGCAACUGCCAUGUUGCAAGCUUUGACCACUAAAUAAGUCUCAGAGGGCAGAAGAAGGGUAAAAGCAGAUAACCUGAGUGAAUGACCAAUCUCUGCUUAUUUAUCAAGAAUCAGAGAAAACAUUUCUUGGACCAUGUACAUGUUGGACUUUGUGCAUACUUACUACCUAUCUUAAUGCAGUUAUUAUAUACAAGGUCAUGAUGGUAUUAAAUGUGAAUUACUAUGGUACCACACCCAGGUGAUAUCUCCGGCAUUUAAAGGUCUGGAAAUAAUCUGCUGCUUAUCAGAGUUUAGAGCAGGGCUGGACACUGAACUGAAGGAGGAUGUGGGGAGCUGCAGGAUAUGAACAUGAGCCAGCAGUGUGUGCUCACA
Molecule: long non-coding RNA, 1640 nt
Organism: Melopsittacus undulatus (budgerigar)
Lineage: Eukaryota; Metazoa; Chordata; Aves; Psittaciformes; Psittaculidae
Exons: 3
Source: RefSeq, a predicted model, not a curated record